This is a long non-coding RNA of Mauremys mutica (yellowpond turtle), 1715 nucleotides long. RefSeq lists it as uncharacterized. NCBI's taxonomy places the organism in Eukaryota, Metazoa, Chordata, Testudines, Geoemydidae. The record is from RefSeq and is a predicted model, not a curated record. The transcript is spliced from 3 exons.
GCCCUUUUAUGAGGUGACCAUAGAGCCAAUCCAGAAAUGAGCCUCCACACAUGAAGGUGUCUAUCCCACCGAGGACUGAGUGGUGCUAGGGUGGUUGGGUAGACCAAUUCCACAGGCUGCACCUAGAGCAGGAGCCAGGGAGCAGAACAUUAAUUAGGAAUGUGUGGGGCCUAUAAAACUAGGUAGCAGCCACAGAGAGGAGGAUUGAGAAGGAAGGGCAGUUAUUUUCUGGGAAGAGAGAGAGAGAGGGGAUUGUUUGGGGGUUGCAGGGAGAUAGUCUGCAGUUACUCCCUGUGAGGAGGAUUCUUGGAGCUCGUACAGCUAGAAAGAGAGAAGGGGAACUAGAGUGUAGGAAGCAGCCCAGGGAAGGGGCAGUGAGGGAAGGGAAAGGAAGUAUAAAGUUGCUGAGCUGAAGGUCCCUGGACUGGAACCUUGAGAAGAGGGCAGACCUGGGAUCCUCUAUGAGUCACUGAAGGAGUGGCACUAGGGCAGUGAAUGGGAAGAUUGCCUAGGACUGUGGAUGGCCUGUACCCUGGAAGGGGGAACACUGGGUGAGCUAGCCAGAGGGCUAAGUCAUGAAAGAGAUGCUGGGGGUCCUGGAGUGAGAGCAGAGCUGUUGACCAGAAGGAGAGAGAGAAUAGUGGUGUGCAAAUUGCAGAAGGGGGUGUCUACCUAAAGAGCUAAUCCUCAGAGUGACCAGGGAGGAGCACUAGACCAGUGGUUUUCGAAUAGUGCCUGUUACUUUAGGAUCUGAUCUUCAACUCCAAUCUUCUUGUCUUCUGUAUUUCAGAUAAAGCGGCUGGAUUACUCAAUCAACCACCUCUGGGAAGGAAUAUAUGGACCUUGAAGAUCUUCAAAUAGUUCAAAAUGUAGCAGACCAACUCCUGAGCAAUAAUGGCUACUGAGAGUACUGCAUCUCAGAGAUCUGCUCACUAUGAGUUCAAACAUGAAAGAUGCUGCGCACUCUGGCUCUGAUCCAGCAAAGCCCUUAAACUCAUGCUUUGCUUUAAGUGCACAAGUAGUCCUAUAGAAGUCAGACCACCCAUAUGCAGAAGUGUUUAAAAAAAACCUGACAAAACACUAUUCAAUUGAAAAAUGCUGUUUUGUUGAAACCAGAUUUUUUUUUUGAGGGAACGUAUAGGUUUCAAUGAAAACUUCAUCCAAAAGGAAUUUGUGGUCAAGAGUGCAAGAGACUGAGGGGUGAGACUAUCUUGAUAGCCCUGUGGCUAGCGUUCUCUCUUGGGACGUAGGAGAACCAGGUUCUUUGAAUCAGGCAGCGUGCCCUAGCCACAAGACUAUCGGGUGUCUGGGGUCAGUCUCUCUCUCCAAUUUUCAUGAAAUAUUUUGAAAGGUCUCAUUUUUGUUCCAUAAGGGAAUUAAAUUACAUCUCAAAACCUAAACAACUUUUGUGAAACAGAAUUUUUAUUUUCUGGCCAACCCUACUCAUGUGCUCAAAGUUAAUCAUGUGUAUGCUCGCAGUGGUCCAUAAUGACUUCCCAUGGGACAUCGGGUUAAUUCCAUGAUACAGUGCUCCUUAUCCUGAAAGCUUUUCAUGGUACAGGAUGAUGUUAUAUAGAACACAGGUCAGCCAACUGAAAAUGGACUGAAAUGGUAUGUGAAAAUGUAGGAAAAUGUUUGCAAAAAACUCCCAAUUUUGUCCUGGGCCAUUCAUGGUAAGAAAUGUUUGCCAGAUUUUCCUGAAAUGACCAGUACUA